RNAcentral lists this ribosomal RNA (459 nucleotides) under uncultured bacterium. RNAcentral's name for it is "partial 16S ribosomal RNA". It matches the Rfam family "Bacterial small subunit ribosomal RNA", at positions 338 to 795 of the family's 1533-position model. The record is from RNAcentral.
CCUACGGGAGGCAGCAGUGAGGAAUAUUGGUCAAUGGGCGCGAGCCUGAACCAGCCAAGUAGCGUGCGGGAUGACGGUCCUAUGGAUUGUAAACCUCUUUUAUCCGGGAGCAAAAUGCGCCCCGUGUGGCGUUCCGAGAGUACCCUACGAAUAAGCACCGGCUAACUCCGUGCCAGCAGCCGCGGUAAUACGGAGGAUACGGGCGUUAUCCGGUUUUAUUGGGUUUAAAGGGUGCGCAGGCGGACGAUCAAGGCAGCGGUAACAUUCCGGGGCUCAACCUCGUCGCGCCGUUGACACUGGUGUGCUGGAGUGAGCGAGAGGUAUGCGGAAUGAGUGGUGUAGCGGUGAAAUGCUUAGAUAUCACGAAGAACUCCGAUUGCGAAGGCAGCAUACCGGAGCGCAACUGACGCUGAUGCACGAAAGUGCGGGUAUCGAACAGGAUUAGAUACCCGAGUAGUC